AAUGGGGGGAACCCUGAUCCAGCCAUGCCGCGUGUGUGAAGAAGGCCUUUUGGUUGUAAAGCACUUUAAGCGAGGAGGAGGCUACCCUAGUUAAUACCUAGGGAUAGUGGACGUUACUCGCAGAAUAAGCACCGGCUAACUCUGUGCCAGCAGCCGCGGUAAUACAGAGGGUGCGAGCGUUAAUCGGAUUUACUGGGCGUAAAGCGUGCGUAGGCGGCUUUUUAAGUCGGAUGUGAAAUCCCUGAGCUUAACUUAGGAAUUGCAUUCGAUACUGGGAAGCUAGAGUAUGGGAGAGGAUGGUAGAAUUCCAGGUGUAGCGGUGAAAUGCGUAGAGAUCUGGAGGAAUACCGAUGGCGAAGGCAGCCAUCUGGCCUAAUACUGACGCUGAGGUACGAAAGCAUGGGGAGCAAACAGGAUUAGAUACCCUGGUAGUCCAUGCCGUAAACGAUGUCUACUAGCCGUUGGGGCCUUUGAGGCUUUAGUGGCGCAGCUAACGCGAUAAGUAGACCGCCUGGGGAG
Molecule: ribosomal RNA, 519 nt
Filed under: uncultured bacterium
Lineage: Bacteria
Description: bacterial SSU rRNA
Rfam family: Bacterial small subunit ribosomal RNA
Source: RNAcentral